RNAcentral lists this ribosomal RNA (231 nucleotides) under uncultured bacterium. RNAcentral describes it as "partial 16S ribosomal RNA". It matches the Rfam family "Bacterial small subunit ribosomal RNA", at positions 15 to 235 of the family's 1533-position model. The record is from RNAcentral.
GAUCCUGGCUCAGGAUGAACGCUAGCUACAGGCUUAACACAUGCAAGUCGAGGGGCAGCAUGGUCUUAGCUUGCUAAGGCUGAUGGCGACCGGCGCACGGGUGAGUAACACGUAUCCAACCUGCCGUCUACCCUUGGCCAGCCUUCUGAAAGGAAGAUUAAUCCAGGAUGGGAUCAUGGGUUCACAUGUCCGCAUGAUUAAAGGUAUUUUCCGGUAGACGAUGGGGAUGCG